AGAGUUUGAUCAUGGCUCAGGAUGAACGCUGGCGGCGUGCCUAAUACAUGCAAGUCGAACGAGGUGCUUUGUAGCAAUACGAAGUAUCCUAGUGGCGAACGGGUGAGUAACGCGUUGGUGACCUACCCCAAAGUGUGGGAUAACAGUCCGAAAGGAUUGCUAAUACCGCAUGUGGUCUGCGAGUUUAGAAAUCGUUGACUAAAGGAGCAAUUCGCUUUGGGAGGGACCUGCGUCCCAUCAGCUAGUUGGUGAGGUAACGGCUCACCAAGGCGACGACGGGUAGGGGACCUGAGAGGGUGGCCCCCCACAAUGGAACUGAAACACGGUCCAUACACCUACGGGUGGCAGCAGUAGGGAAUAUUGGUCAAUGGGCGAAAGCCUGAACCAGCAACGCCGCGUGUGCGAUGAAGGCCUUCGGGUCGUAAACCUCUUUUCUGGGGGAAGAGCGAGGACGGUACCCCAGGAAUAAGUCUCGGCUAACUACGUGCCAGCAGCCGCGGUAAAACGUAGGAGGCGAGCGUUAUCCGGAUUUACUGGGCGUAAAGCGCACGCAGGCGGCUUGGUAAGUUGGACGUGAAAGCUCCUGGCUUAACUGGGAGAGGCCGUUCGAAACUGCCGGGCUUGAGGUUGGGAGAGGGGUGGGGAAUUCCCGGUUGUAUGGUGGAAUGCGUAGUAUUGGGAGGAACACCAGUGGCGAAGGCGCACCCUGGCCCACACCUGACGCUGAGGUUGGGAAGGCGUGGGAGCAAACAGGAUUAGAUACCUGGUAGUCCACGCUGUAAACCAUGUCAAACUAGGUGU
Molecule: ribosomal RNA, 801 nt
Filed under: uncultured bacterium
Lineage: Bacteria
Description: bacterial SSU rRNA
Rfam family: Bacterial small subunit ribosomal RNA
Source: RNAcentral